This 253-nucleotide ribosomal RNA is filed under the name uncultured bacterium. RNAcentral describes it as "partial 16S ribosomal RNA". It matches the Rfam family "Bacterial small subunit ribosomal RNA", at positions 524 to 776 of the family's 1533-position model. The record is from RNAcentral.
UACGGAGGGGGCUAGCGUUGUUCGGAAUUACUGGGCGUAAAGCGCACGUAGGCGGCUUUGCAAGUUAGAGGUGAAAGCCCGGGGCUCAACUCCGGAAUUGCCUUUAAAACUGCAUCGCUAGAAUUGUGGAGAGGUAAGUGGAAUUCCCGGUGUAGAGGUGAAAUUCGUAGAUAUCGGGAGGAACACCAGUGGCGAAGGCGGCAACCUGGGCCAAUAUUGACGCUGAGGUGCGAAAGCGUGGGGAGCAAACAGG